Non-coding RNA from Podarcis lilfordi (Lilford's wall lizard), 104 nucleotides. Lineage: Eukaryota; Metazoa; Chordata; Lepidosauria; Squamata; Lacertidae. The record is from the annotation of a GenBank genome assembly.
AUAUGAGAAUUAUCUGCCUGUAACAUCUGUCAGCCCACUGAUUGCCAGGGUUGAUUCAGCUGAUAAGGUGCUCUAGGUGGAUGUCCCUUUUAUCCCUUACCACU